RNAcentral lists this long non-coding RNA (319 nucleotides) under Selaginella moellendorffii. RNAcentral describes it as "long non-coding RNA (SMOE_LNC000170)". The record is from RNAcentral. Lineage: Eukaryota; Viridiplantae; Streptophyta; Lycopodiopsida; Selaginellales; Selaginellaceae.
UUUGUUUCAGUUCAAAAAAAUUAAACAAAUUACCAGGAAUCCUUGGGAACAUACAAGGUUAGAGACGGGAGGCUCAAGAGGUCCUGUUCGUGGAUGUAACUGCUUGUCGAACAGCAUCAUGGCAGCCGAUGCAAAUACUAAGCCUACAUGGUAAAGUAUUUCACGAGUUUUUUAUUUGUUUCUUGCUUGUUUCUAGUAUGCUUCUUGUGCUCUUCUGCAAAAAGAAGUUUGCUUGUUGUAUACCCAAAAAGACAAUGAGAGUAGCAUACCCUCUUCUUGCAGGAUUCCAUGUAGGUGGGAUCUUCCUCGUCAUCCUGCC